This 83-nucleotide transfer RNA is filed under the name Canis lupus familiaris (dog). It matches the Rfam family "tRNA". From Rfam's summary of the family: Transfer RNA (tRNA) molecules are approximately 80 nucleotides in length. Their secondary structure includes four short double-helical elements and three loops (D, anti-codon, and T loops). Further hydrogen bonds mediate the characteristic L-shaped molecular structure. tRNAs have two regions of fundamental functional importance: the anti-codon, which is responsible for specific mRNA codon recognition, and the 3' end, to which the tRNAs corresponding amino acid is attached (by aminoacyl-tRNA synthetases). tRNAs cope with the degeneracy of the genetic code in two manners: having more than one tRNA (with a specific anti-codon) for a particular amino acid; and 'wobble' base-pairing, i.e. permitting non-standard base-pairing at the 3rd anti-codon position. Lineage: Eukaryota; Metazoa; Chordata; Mammalia; Carnivora; Canidae. RNAcentral also lists the same sequence under 1 other name. The record is from Rfam by way of RNAcentral.
GCCUGGGUGGCUCAGUGGUUAAGCAUCUGCCUUUGGCUCAGGUUGUGAUCCCAGGGUCUUGGGAUCGAGUCCCAUCUCGGGCU